GCAGCGAAAUGCGAUACUUGGUGUGAAUUGCAGAAUCCCGUGAACCAUCGAGUCUUUGAACGCAAGUUGCGCCCGAGGCCCAUUCGGCCGAGGGCACGUCCGCCUGGGUGUCACGC
This 116-nucleotide unclassified non-coding RNA is filed under the name Casearia deplanchei. Its description in RNAcentral is "ITS1". It matches the Rfam family "5.8S ribosomal RNA", at positions 45 to 154 of the family's 154-position model. From Rfam's summary of the family: 5.8S ribosomal RNA (5.8S rRNA) is a component of the large subunit of the eukaryotic ribosome. It is transcribed by RNA polymerase I as part of the 45S precursor that also contains 18S and 28S rRNA. The record is from RNAcentral. Lineage: Eukaryota; Viridiplantae; Streptophyta; Magnoliopsida; Malpighiales; Salicaceae.